AGUGAACGCUGGCGGUAGGCCUAACACAUGCAAGUCGAACGGCAGCACAGUAAGAGCUUGCUCUUACGGGUGGCGGGUGGCGGACGGGUGAGGAAUACAUCGGAAUCUACUUUUUCGUGGGGGAUAACGUAGGGAAACUUACGCUAAUACCGCAUACGACCUACGGGUGAAAGCAGGGGAUCUUCGGACCUUGCGCGAUUGAAUGAGCCGAUGUCGGAUUAGCUAGUUGGCGGGGUAAAGGCCCACCAAGGCGACGAUCCGUAGCUGGUCUGAGAGGAUGAUGAGCCAAACUGGAACUGAGAAACGGUCCAGACUCCUAAGGGAGGCAGCAGUGGGGAAUAUUGGACAAUGGGCGCAAGCCUGAUCCAGCCAUACCGCGUGGGUGAAGAAGGCCUUCGGGUUGUAAAGCCCUUUUGUUGGGAAAGAAAAGCAGCAGGUUAAUACCCCGCUGUUCUGACGGUACCCAAAGAAUAAGCACCGGCUAACUUCGUG
Molecule: ribosomal RNA, 492 nt
Filed under: uncultured bacterium
Lineage: Bacteria
Description: partial 16S ribosomal RNA
Rfam family: Bacterial small subunit ribosomal RNA
Source: RNAcentral